This 1139-nucleotide long non-coding RNA is filed under the name Physcomitrium patens. RNAcentral's name for it is "long non-coding RNA (PPAT_LNC004954)". The record is from RNAcentral. Lineage: Eukaryota; Viridiplantae; Streptophyta; Bryopsida; Funariales; Funariaceae.
GGAAUGUAGUAGAAGAGGCACAGCAGCAAAUGAAUCCCCGCCUUGGGGGGGAUGCAUGGUAUGCAAUUCAGUGACAUCGAUCACGGAUUCUACCCCCCGCCCCACAACGAUUGCUUCUUCAUGCUCCAGAUCCUCAACACUCACCUCCCCUUUCAAUCGCUACACUCUCACUUCCUCGCUCUUCUUUUGAAGCUCGUUGCCGGGCUCGCUCCUCCGGGAACUCCCUCGCACAUCAAUGCUUUUGUCUUGUCGAAGUUGCGCUGGACGUCCAAUUCCAAAACCCACGCCAAAGCUUCAUCAGUCAGGCGGUGAGGUUGUUUGUUAUGUGUAGCCAGGUCGAUCCUGCAGGAUUCUGAGCUGCCGAGAACUUGUUAGGAGUCUACCACUGCGGAAGAUCCUGAGACUGCUCCGCAAGGGUUGCGUGCGUGUGAGAGCACGGAUUUCCGUCCGCUGUGGACACCAACCAGAUCCUGCAAGUUUCUCUGCAGUGAGUGAGUGCCUGGUCCCCGAGACCUGGAAACCAAGACAUUGCCUGAGUGUUAGUGGAGGUGAAGGUUUCUUAAGGGAGUAUCGAGCUGCAACGUUUCAAUUCGAUAGCUACCCCUUUUGAUUCUAAGCAAAAUUCAUAUUCAGUUUGUACACAAUCGAAUGUUGGAAGCUUCCAAUGCUGCUAGGUUCGGUGCGGUUCCAAUCAGCUUCGAGAAUCUUCGGGUUUCGUGCACUUCUGUGAUCGUAGAUGUUCUUCGAAGGAGUCUGCUUCGUUGAGACAGUUCCUGUAUGUGAUUACUACACAGUUGAGGUUGGAAGCUAAUUCGUCAUUGCUCAAUUCAAUGUGUACAAUUGUUGCUUGGUUACGAGAAAAAUCAUGAUACGAUUCUGAAUGUUUAGUGGUUUCGUUUCGUGUUUGUCGUUGGUUCUCAUUUUGGGGAUGGAUCGUUUGAGAAUUAGUAAACAUGUUUGCUAACAGCACAUGUUUUUGGUGUUUGUAAGUAAACAAUACCUAUAAAUAUAUAUAUAUAUAUAUAUAUAUAUACUUAUUGUUCACUCAUAGGUUCUGAGUGUAAUUAUUCAAGCGUUCUUCUAUUUUACAAAAUUUGCUGAUCAUUUCUGGAAUUAUUGGAGAAUGGCAUAUAUCAUCC